RNAcentral lists this ribosomal RNA (341 nucleotides) under uncultured Ferribacterium sp. Its description in RNAcentral is "bacterial SSU rRNA". It matches the Rfam family "Bacterial small subunit ribosomal RNA", at positions 242 to 575 of the family's 1533-position model. Lineage: Bacteria; Pseudomonadati; Pseudomonadota; Betaproteobacteria; Rhodocyclales; Azonexaceae. The record is from RNAcentral.
UAGCUAGUUGGUGAGGUAAAGGCUCACCAAGGCGACGAUCUGUAGCGGGUCUGAGAGGAUGAUCCGCCACACUGGAACUGAGACACGGUCCAGACUCCUACGGGAGGCAGCAGUGGGGAAUUUUGGACAAUGGGGGCAACCCUGAUCCAGCCAUGCCGCGUGAGUGAAGAAGGCCUUCGGGUUGUAAAGCUCUUUCGGCCGGGAAGAAAUCGCAUGGGUUAAUACCCUGUGCGGAUGACGGUACCGGCAUAAGAAGCACCGGCUAACUACGUGCCAGCAGCCGCGGUAAUACGUAGGGUGCGAGCGUUAAUCGGAAUUACUGGGCGUAAAGCGUGCGCAGG